RNAcentral lists this ribosomal RNA (508 nucleotides) under uncultured bacterium. RNAcentral describes it as "bacterial SSU rRNA". It matches the Rfam family "Bacterial small subunit ribosomal RNA", at positions 42 to 548 of the family's 1533-position model. The record is from RNAcentral.
GCAUGCUUUACACAUGCAAGUCGAACGGUAACAGGUCUUCGGAUGCUGACGAGUGGCGAACGGGUGAGUAAUGCAUCGGAACGUGCCCAGUCGUGGGGGAUAACGCAGCGAAAGCUGCGCUAAUACCGCAUACGAUCUAUGGAUGAAAGCGGGGGACCGUAAGGCCUCGCGCGAUUGGAGCGGCCGAUGUCAGAUUAGGUAGUUGGUGGGGUAAAGGCCCCCAAGCCAACGAUCUGUAGCUGGUCUGAGAGGACGACCAGCCACACUGGGACUGAGACACGGCCCAGACUCCUACGGGAGGCAGCAGUGGGGAAUUUUGGACAAUGGGCGCAAGCCUGAUCCAGCAAUGCCGCGUGCAGGAAGAAGGCCUUCGGGUUGUAAACUGCUUUUGUACGGAACGAAACGGUUCUCUCUAAUACAGAGGGCUAAUGACGGUACCGUAAGAAUAAGCACCGGCUAACUACGUGCCAGCAGCCGCGGUAAUACGUAGGGUGCAAGCGUUAAUCGG